UACGUAGGGGGCAAGCGUUGUCCGGAUUUAUUGGGCGUAAAGAGCUCGUAGGCGGCUCGGUAAGUCGGAUGUGAAACCUCCAGGCUCAACCUGGAGACGCCAUCUGAUACUGCCGUGGCUUGAGUCCGGUAGAGGAGCAGGGAAUUCCUGGUGUAGCGGUGAAAUGCGCAGAUAUCAGAAGGAACACCAGCGGCGAAGGCGCUGCUCUGGGCCGGUACUGACGCUGAGGAGCGAAAGCGUGGGGAGCGAACAGG
Molecule: ribosomal RNA, 254 nt
Filed under: uncultured bacterium
Lineage: Bacteria
Description: partial 16S ribosomal RNA
Rfam family: Bacterial small subunit ribosomal RNA
Source: RNAcentral